RNAcentral lists this ribosomal RNA (305 nucleotides) under uncultured bacterium. Its description in RNAcentral is "bacterial SSU rRNA". It matches the Rfam family "Bacterial small subunit ribosomal RNA", at positions 333 to 635 of the family's 1533-position model. The record is from RNAcentral.
ACGUACCUACGGGAGGCAGCAGUGAGGAAUAUUGGUCAAUGGGCGCGAGCCUGAACCAGCCAAGUAGCGUGAAGGAUGACUGCCCUACGGGAUGUAAACUUCUUUUAUAAAGGAAUAAAGUGAGGCACGUGUGCCUUUUUGUAUGUACUUUAUGAAUAAGGAUCGGCUAACUCCGUGCCAGCAGCCGCGGUAAUACGGAGGAUCCGAGCGUUAUCCGGAUUUAUUGGGUUUAAAGGGAGCGUAGAUGGGUUGUUAAGUCAGUUGUGAAAGUUUGCGGCUCAACCGUAAAAUUGCAAUUGAUACUG